RNAcentral lists this ribosomal RNA (484 nucleotides) under uncultured bacterium. Its description in RNAcentral is "partial 16S ribosomal RNA". It matches the Rfam family "Bacterial small subunit ribosomal RNA", at positions 30 to 507 of the family's 1533-position model. The record is from RNAcentral.
AUUGAACGCUGGCGGCAGGCCUAACACAUGCAAGUCGAGCGGAUGAAGGGAGCUUGCUCCUGGAUUCAGCGGCGGACGGGUGAGUAAUGCCUAGGAAUCUGCCUGGUAGUGGGGGAUAACGUCCGGAAACGGGCGCUAAUACCGCAUACGUCCUGAGGGAGAAAGUGGGGGAUCUUCGGACCUCACGCUAUUAGAUGAGCCUAGGUCGGAUUGGCUAGUUGGUGGGGUAAAGGCCUACCAAGGCGACGAUCCGUAGCUGGUCUGAGAGGAUGAGCAGCCACACUGGAACUGAGACACGGUCCAGACUCCUACGGGAGGCAGCAGUGGGGAAUAUUGGACAAUGGGCGAAAGCCUGAUCCAGCCAUGCCGCGUGUGUGAAGAAGGUCUUCGGAUUGUAAAGCACUUUAAGUUGGGAGGAAGGGCAGUAAGUUAAUACCUUGCUGUUUUGACGUUACCAACAGAAUAAGCACCGGCUAACUUCGUG